GUUCUCCCAGGCUCCGCCCCUCAGGCGGAUAUUCUCCUACAACUUCUGAAAUCGCCCGGCCCCAUCCCUCCCUGCCUUCACCUCUAAUUGGACGCUGGCCUCUAUAGGCUCCGCCCCUCGGCGACGUGAGCCCGCUUCCCUCCGAGUCUAGGCGCCGAGGGGGCGGGGCGGGGCGGGGCGUCUGCGCCCUAUUGUCAUGGAGACGGGAAGCCGGCGGCGGCGGUGGCGGGCAUAGCCCAGCAGAGGUGGCAGCGAACCGGCCGCGACUGAGGCGAGGCCGAGCAGCCCCGAGCGCGCGGAGCCGACCGCUGGCGGCCUCUCAGGCAGCCAAGGGAGCAGUGUUCUCCGGGGCUCGGGCUGGGCCGGGGUGAUCGCGGGGAGUGCCCAGGAGCGUCCCCGCCCUGCUCGCGUCGCUCGCGCUCUUGCGGCCCUUCAGCUCCCCAGCGCCCGCCCCCGGCUCCGCCCGCCGCCGCCGCCGCCGCCGCCGCCGCAGCCCCUCGCGCUAACGGUCGGUAGCGGCCCGCGCGCGCCGCCAGCCGGGGGCUCGCGCCAGCCACGAGGGAGCGUCCGCGGCUCACGCUCCCGCGCUGCGGAGGAGAGGUGAGCCCCGCGUCCACUCUGCCACCGCGUACCCUCCGCGUCUCGGCCGGGCUUCCUGCCUCUCGAGCCGCGUCCACGUCCUCCCGUGGACGGGAUGGACGCGGUGGUGCCCUGCGCCCCUCUGGGCUCUCGGUUAUGAGUAUGAUGCUUCCAUAUACGUUUGGAUGUUUUCAGCUAAGUUCACUUCUGAACUGUGGGGCUCCUCCAAGUGUUGACUGAAAUCUGUCCUUGAGCAUCCCCACGCUCAUCUGUAAAAUCUACAGUCCAUAAUGGAGCCACUGUACUGGCUUUUGGAAGGAGGAGAUUCUGAAGAUAGGGAGGGGAGCACGCUGUCUGCAGGGCAGUUUACUGUCAGCCACCACCCAGCUCAGAGUGGGAGACUCGCUGGUUGACAACUGGUUCCAGAGCUCUGCCAAGGAGCUCUCCAGGCCCAGCCGGGGCUGCUGUAGCGCACGGGAGGCCGGGAGCUGCGCCACUCGGGUUCCUUCCCUAGUUGUCAGCUUUAGGUCCCUUUCCAUUUUUUGUGUAAUCCUGGGCUGUGGGUAAUACUUUCCC
Molecule: long non-coding RNA, 1155 nt
Organism: Bos taurus (domestic cattle)
Lineage: Eukaryota; Metazoa; Chordata; Mammalia; Artiodactyla; Bovidae
Source: Ensembl